Molecule: long non-coding RNA, 452 nt
Organism: Bos taurus (domestic cattle)
Lineage: Eukaryota; Metazoa; Chordata; Mammalia; Artiodactyla; Bovidae
Source: Ensembl
AGCAUCUGCUAUACCCACCCAGCGUAUAACCAUCUAUCCCUUCUCCUCCCUUCCUAACCAUCUCAGCUUUUAUUCAGGUGUCCCUGUCCGUCCCAUGUAGCCUGAGUGUCUCAGGGGAAGCUGAGCCUACCCCAGCUCCAGGCAGGGGUCCUGACUAGCACAGCCAAUCAGCACAUUCCAGACCUCUGGUUAUGGUGAGGAACCUGCUGUACAGAGAGGUUAAGAUCUUACCCAAGGUCACCUAGUUAAUAAGUGGCAGAGUUGGGAUUCAAACUCAGGCAUCUUGACUUCACGGCUGUUUGGAGCUGGUCAGACUACUUUCGUGAUCCUGUGUCUCCUCCCCUCUCCUCUGCAUACCUGCUCUGUUUGCUCUGGUUCUUCCAUCAUCACCUCCUGCCUGUGGCCUCAUCUCUCCAGCGCUGAUCUUCCCAUCCUUGCAGCCAAAUGCACAC